AAUCAACGCUGGCGGCGUGCCUCAGACAUGCAAGUCGAACGAUUAAAGCUCUCUUCGGAGAGUGUAUAGAGUGGCGCACGGGUGAGUAACACGUAAGUAAUCUACCCUCGAGUGGGGAAUAACGUCCGGAAACGGACGCUAAUACCGCAUAAUGCAGCGGCACCGCAAGGUGACAGUUGUUAAAGGAGAAAUUCGCUUGAGGAGGAGCUUGCGGCAGAUAGCUUGUUGGUAAGUAACGGCUUACCAAGGCUACGAUCUGUAACCGGUCUUAGAGGACGGUCGGUCAUACUGGACACUGAAUAACGGGUCAGACUCCUAC
This 319-nucleotide ribosomal RNA is filed under the name uncultured bacterium. RNAcentral's name for it is "bacterial SSU rRNA". It matches the Rfam family "Bacterial small subunit ribosomal RNA", at positions 32 to 342 of the family's 1533-position model. The record is from RNAcentral.